Molecule: non-coding RNA, 28 nt
Filed under: Rattus norvegicus (Norway rat)
Lineage: Eukaryota; Metazoa; Chordata; Mammalia; Rodentia; Muridae
Source: RNAcentral
UGAGAACAUAGUGUUAAUCAGAAAAGUU